GUAACAAGGUUUCCGUAGGUGAACCUGCGGAAGGAUCAUUAUUGAAAUAAACCUGAUAAGUUGCUGCUGGUUCUCUAGGGAGCAUGUGCACACUUGUCAUCUUUGUAUCUUCACCUGUGCACCUUUUGUAGACCAGAUUAUCUCUCUGAGUGCUUUACAGCUCUUGGGAUUGAGAAUUGGCUUCUUGUCUUUUCUUAUAUUUUCAGGUCUAUGUUUUUCAUAUACCCUAAUGUAUGUUUAUAGAAUGUAAUUGAUGGGCCUUUGUGCCUAUAAACCUUUACAACUUUCAGCAACGGAUCUCUUGGCUCUCGCAUCGAUGAAGAACGCAGCGAAAUGCGAUAAGUAAUGUGAAUUGCAGAAUUCAGUGAAUCAUCGAAUCUUUGAACGCACCUUGCGCUCCUUGGUAUUCCGAGGAGCAUGCCUGUUUGAGUGUCAUUAAUAUUAUCAACCUCUUUGGUUGGAUUUGGGGGUUUGCUGGCCUUUUGAAGGUCAGCUCUCCUUAAAUGCAUUAGCGGACAACAUAUUUGCCAACCGUUUAUUGGUGUGAUAAUUAUCUACGCUAUUAACGUGAAGCAAGGUUCAGCUUCUAAUAGUCCAUUGACUUGGACAACUCUUCUUUUAUUAAUGUGACCUCAAAUCAGGUAGGACUACCCGCUGAACUUAAGCAUAUCAAUAAGCGGAGGAAAAGAAACUAACAAGGAUUCCCCUAGUAACUGCGAGUGAAGCGGGAAAAGCUCAAAUUUAAAAUCUGGCGGUCUUUGGCUGUCCGAGUUGUAAUCUAGAGAAGCAUUAUCCGCGCUGGACCGUGUACAAGUCUCCUGGAAUGGAGCGUCAUAGAGGGUGAGAAUCCCGUCUUUGACACGGACUGCCAGGGCUUUGUGAUGUGCUCUCAAAGAGUCGAGUUGUUUGGGAAUGCAGCUCAAAAUGGGUGGUAAAUUCCAUCUAAAGCUAAAUAUUGGCGAGAGACCGAUAGCGAACAAGUACCGUGAGGGAAAGAUGAAAAGAACUUUGGAAAGAGAGUUAAACAGUACGUGAAAUUGCUGAAAGGGAAACGCUUGAAGUCAGUCGCGUUGUCCAGGGAUCAAUCUUGCUUUUGCUUGAUGUACUUUCUGGUUAACGGGUCAACAUCAAUUUUGACUAUUGGAAAAAGAUCAAGGGAAUGUGGCAUCUUUGGAUGUGUUAUAGCCUUUGGUUGCAUACAAUAGUUAGGAUUGAGGAACUCAGCACGCCGCAAGGCCGAGUUUUUUGCUACGUACGUGCUUA
RNAcentral lists this ribosomal RNA (1263 nucleotides) under Calonarius cisticola. Its description in RNAcentral is "eukaryotic LSU rRNA". The stretch from base 628 to 1263 matches the Rfam family "Eukaryotic large subunit ribosomal RNA", at positions 1 to 615 of the family's 3401-position model. The record is from RNAcentral. Lineage: Eukaryota; Fungi; Basidiomycota; Agaricomycetes; Agaricales; Cortinariaceae.